Long non-coding RNA from Leopardus geoffroyi (Geoffroy's cat), 1733 nucleotides. RefSeq lists it as uncharacterized. The transcript is spliced from 2 exons. The record is from RefSeq and is a predicted model, not a curated record. Lineage: Eukaryota; Metazoa; Chordata; Mammalia; Carnivora; Felidae.
CCCCCCAUCAUUUCAAGGAACUGUGGAAUUGUUCUCCUCAUGAUCUGUGGCCUUAUAAUGACGUCUGAGAUGUGUUGACCUGGAUCAUGUCUGAAAAAGUUACUUGCUGUCCUCCCUCUUUUUUUCCCUUCAAAGCUCCGGCAACCGCUGGGGGACAGUGCUCAUUUAUUUGCCUGCUCCGACAAUGGCACGCUGGGUGGUGUUUGUCUCCGGGCCUCUCGUGUGCCUCUGUUUCCUCCACGGAGCAGAAGGAGAGCCAGCAGUCCUGGCUUCUCGGCCCUGCUGCUGAGCCCAGAGCUUCCGCUGGCUUCUCUGGGAAGGACACAGCUUUGCUGUCUGGGUUCGCUCUGGAAACAUGAAGCUGGGCCUCGAGCGGGCUACGGGCCUGCAGACACCCUUUCCGACCCUGGGCUGAUUGGAGGGGGUUGUGAGAGGGGUGCCUGUAUGUCGGGGCGUCUGGAAACGUCCUCCAGAAUAAGGCAGGGAGCUUGCUCGAUUCUAGCCGGAAGGAAGUGGAGUCAGGACGCCGAGGGAGGGAUGACCGCUGUCCCUGCCCUGCUGGCAGCUUCCUCCUCCCUCUUCUUGCCACAGGAUGGUUUUGGCAGGGCCUCGGGGCCAACGGGGACAAGCACGCCAGUCCCUCCCCGCAGAGCCUACCUGGGACUUAGAUUCUUUUCAUAGCUGACGAUAAGCAAGGCAUGUUUGUGUUCACAGCCCUGAUGGGGAGAUAGGCGCAUUCUGCCUGCCUUCGCUCAUUCAAGACAGCGGCGGGCGUCUGAGAAGCACCAGGGCCCACGUGGAGCUCAGGGCAGCCAGCGGCCUCCGGAGUCUCCACAGCCGGAACAGCACCCAGGCCCCUGGAAACGGCACCUCCCCAGAAGAGCUGCCCGGGUGCGAUCUGAAACAAAGUCUCUGUGCCCCCGGGGCCUGGCCCCGCUGCGGCGUCCCCCCGCCCCCCCAGCCUGGCCGUUGCAGCAACAUGCAGAGGCAUCUGGUGGGGAAAGAGGAGCUGGCCCGAUGCUGUCUGCUGCCUGCCGUCACCCAGGGACCGGCGCCCCGGUCCCCCUCCCUUGGGACCCGCGAGAGGCUCCGACUGCAGUGGGGGAGGGGAAGGGGAGGCCACAGGAACCGGUCCCGAGUGAGGACGGCCUCAGAGGGACCGCCUGGCAGCACUGGGCAUGGGGUCCCGAAGAUGCCCUUGGGCUUGGAAGGGCCCAGCCUUCUAACGGCUCCGUGGCCAGACUUAGCCGCAGAGCAGCGUGGGGCCCAGAUCCUGGGGCUGGACAGUGAAGAGCGACAUGGCUCAUCUCUGGCAAGUUCCCCCAGGAGCUGAGGACUGGGGCCGCAGGGCUGUAGGAGGGCUUUGUCCCGGCCCAGCGCCAAUCUGAAUUACUUAAAGCAGAAAGUCUGAGUGGCUUCUCUUUCAAAGCAGCCUGGUGUUGGGGUCAGGGUCAGGGACAGGGACGCGCCCCUGGCCCCGGGUCAGAGGUGCCGGGGGCCGCGGCCCAGGGUGAUCGGAGGGGACUGAGGGCUGCCCCCCAGUCCCGCCCGGUCACCGCCUCCCUUCCUGUUUUCCCACCCUCGUGGGCUUGGAAGGAGAGCAGGGAGCAGGAGUUGGGAAGUUUUUCUUUCUCCUCAUUUCAGAAACACGAUGUCAUGUCUGUGAUGCUGAAACGCAUGGGCAGAUUUUAGGGAGGUUUCUGUUAUUAAAAGCGAGAGGCUAUCAAUUCAGA